CUCUUUCCCCUUCCCCUCGAUCCCCACGAGCCGCCGCACCCCUCCCUCGAUCCCCAGUUCCCCACGAUCCUCUCCUAGCCUGCAGCCACUGGCCUUGUCUCUCCACUCGCCUCCUCCUUUCCUCUACCAUGUCAUCAUCGAUCCCACCGCCGACCUUCUCCUCUGCUUGCCUCCUUCGGUCCUCUUCCAUGUCGCCGUCAAUCCAGAUCGGACCCUCUCCUUGCACGCCCCGUGUUCCUUCUUCUAACCGAUUGGGCACAGCUGCACCAACCCUAGCCCCCGAUGCAGCCGUCCACUCCUCACUCCUCCUCCCCCUCCCACAGCCACCGCACCCGUUUCUUGGCCCCCUGGCAACGCACGGGUCGGGGCUGGGAAGAAGAUCCGGGCCUGCGAGGAAAAUCAGCAAGGGUUGGUGCAGCGGCAAAUGCGGGCGGGAUCUGCCGUGGAGGGAGGCUCGUCAGCCGGAACAACAAGAGCAAGGAGGUCGUGCAGGCACGAAUGCUGGCGGGGUCGGCCGUGGAAGAAGGCUCGCUGGACGGAGCAUCAAGAGCAGGGAAGUUGAGGUGGUUCAGGUUUGCCUCUAUCUCCCCCCACUCUAUCUCUGCCCUCCCUCUUAUUUUCCCCCUUGUCUCGUGGAUAAGGGCGUUAGUGCACCACGAGGAGUAGAUCAAGCAUGGACCAUAGCAGCAGGAUCAAGGAGCUGCUGGUGGUUCUGGCAACAAGGAGGAUGAUCAAGAAGGAUUGGGGAACACCAGCAAAAAAAGUACUGGGGAAGACGGGCGGGACGAAGGCAUGGAGAUCGUUGUUUGGUGCCAAUGUGCGUUUGGUGUUGAUUGCUGGCUGGCCGAUUGCGGUGUGCUACCGGUGGUGAGAUCCAUGAGGAGGUGGCGGCAGACAGGGAGACAAGGACCUUUUUUCUUGCAUUCUCGUGUCUUUUGGCAAGGAGAAAAUUAUCAUUUGGAGGGGAAAAGACAAAUGAAAACAUGCAAGAUAGUAUAUGCAAUUGACAUAGCCUUUAGUUCUUGAAUCAGAGUUCAGUGGUGAAGAACACUGCAAUUUUUUGGUUGAUGGAUUGGUCUGAAUAUAUUGCAAGGGAUUUUGCAUGAAGUGGUUAUUCAAAGAAUAUAUUGCCACUUGGUGGGCUUUGUUGAAAAACCAUACCUACCGAAGUCCAAACACGAUGAAACUUUACAGUGAUAUUUUCUGGAAUGUAAGAGACCCUGGAAGCUUCGGGGAGGACAAAAAGACCCACGUGCCCCCCACAAGCCAGGUGGACGCCACCCGUUGACUUGUGGGCCCCACGUAGCUUCGAUUGACCUAAUUCUUGGCCUAUAAAUUCACAUAUAUUCUGAAACACUCGGAGUGGGACCCGAAACAAUUCUUAAGCUGCCGCAAACCUCUAUUCUUCCGCAAUCUCAUCUGGAGCCCUUUUUUGGUACUCCACAGGAGGCGGAAAUCAUUGGGGAGGUUAUCUUCAUCAACCUUUCUGCCUCCUUGAUGAUGUGUGAGUAGUUUCUACAGGACCUAUGGGUCCAUAGCAGUAGGUACAUGGCUUUCUCUCUCUCUUUUAAUCUUCAAUACAAUGAUCUUCUCUAAGAUCAAUCUGAUGUAAUCUUUUGCGGUGUGUUUGUUGGGAUCUGAUGAAUUUUGGGUUUAUGAUCAGAUUA
This is an RNA transcript of Triticum dicoccoides, 1667 nucleotides long. RefSeq lists it as uncharacterized. The record is from RefSeq and is a predicted model, not a curated record. NCBI's taxonomy places the organism in Eukaryota, Viridiplantae, Streptophyta, Magnoliopsida, Poales, Poaceae. The transcript is spliced from 3 exons.